GCUAAUACGAGCCUUGCAAAUCACAGUGGAGAGCUACUGAGAGGACGUUAAGUAGCAGAAGCUAUGUCUGUGCAGCUUAUCUGUUGGAGAAGUCUGCGGCCAUCCCUUGAUUUGGAAGUCUUCUGCCUGGACUUGUGGCUUGGGACUGCAGAAUCAGGAUUGGGCUGGACUGUUUUGCUUUUUUUUUAAAUCAGGAAAGACUUGGCUAUUGUGUUUUGGAUAAAACAAUAUGGAGGCUGUGUCUUUGAGAUGACUAAUAACAGGUUAGCAGACAGCCAUCCAGUUCACCACCCAUUCUCCUUUCUUUGGGAAGCAGCACCCUGAUUUACUCUGAUAAACCAUCAUCCUUCAAUCACUCUUAAUCCAUGUGGUUCUGUGUGGGGGUCUCCAUCCUCAGCCCCAAAGGCUGGGCUCUGGGCUAACCAAUCAGAGCCAUCCAUCUCCUUCCUUGGCCAUGGCAAUUGGUUGCUAGGUUAGCCAAUGACCAAAGUGGGAUGAUGGAGUGAAUCUUGAAUCUUGGCUGAAGAAUCCUGAGAAGGGGAAGCUCCUUUUGCCCUGGGGUGGCUAGCAUGGUGCUGCCAAAUUUAUCAUUGUGACCUCAUCACCUCAGAUUGAUGCCCACUCAGAGUAAAGUAGAGGUGAGGGACAGAGACAGAUUUCUGAUGCUAUUGUUGGAGCACCUGGAUAAAGCCCUGCUUGAAAUUAGAAGCCCUCCUGGACUUGUUUACAUGAUUAGAUUCUAUCCUUUUCGAUUGAGAAUGAGCUGGCUUUCCAUCACUUGAAAUGGAAAUAGUCCUGAUUAAUUCAGUGGUCCAGCUGGUGAAUUCAGCCAACUGGUCAAUUCUGUGACCAAAGGAAAAUGUGCUUAUAAAAACGACACAGAAAUGGAGAGCAGGAAGUGGGAACAGCAUGAAAAUUCCCCUCAGUGAUUCCUCCUAUGGGCAUCUCACUUCCCAGAGAUGGAGGGAUCAGUGGCUUGGCCAUGAGUAAACAGAGAUGGGGCCAAGUGAGUUUCGUUGUCAAUGUAAGGAGAAAAGCAACAGCAAAUGAAGAUGCUAAAAUGAAAAUCAAGAAUGGCUGGCCUGGGAGACAGCACGCUCAUGUUUUGUUCAAC
Molecule: long non-coding RNA, 1114 nt
Filed under: Callithrix jacchus (white-tufted-ear marmoset)
Lineage: Eukaryota; Metazoa; Chordata; Mammalia; Primates; Cebidae
Description: lncRNA (ENSCJAG00000083507.1)
Source: RNAcentral